Heterocephalus glaber (naked mole-rat) is the source of this 328-nucleotide long non-coding RNA. NCBI's taxonomy places the organism in Eukaryota, Metazoa, Chordata, Mammalia, Rodentia, Bathyergidae. The record is from Ensembl.
GGACAUUGCUCUCUUCUCACUGAUGCACAUCACAUGGUGGUCAUGGGAGGGAUGAGAUGGCAAAUCCAAGUGAUGCUGUUGCACUGAUAACCAGGAUGAUGAUGAUACUGAUGAUGAUGAUGAUGAUGGGUGGGUGAUGAAUCAGGUGCAAACAGAGGUUCUUCAGAAGAGGCAACAGAAGAAAUCACAUGUGAUGAAGGUCAUUAAGAAAUAUCAGAAAGGUCAGCACAUCUCUCUGCUCAGGAUGCUAGGAACCAGAGAAAAGAAAGUCUUCAGUGGAACACUCACAAGAGUUAUGAUGAUGUAUCCAGGUUUUGGGACAAAACAG